CGUGAGAGAAGACUGAUAAUGAUGCAAAAAAUUAAGGGCGUGGCUCAAUCAUGUUUUAUCAUUCAAGUUGAUUCAACUUGUUAAAUGGCAGUAGAGAUUGCUCCUAUUGCUGUUCCUCCAGCAGCAGCUCCUCUUCCUCCAGGAAUAAAGGCUCCAAGAAGAGUACAGCCAUUAGACUAUGAGAGGGAGCUAGUCUCAAGAAGGACUGACCUACAAUCAGAGACACACUCUAACCUAUUGAUAUUCCCCCAACAAGACAUAACUAGCGUCUUCUAGUUCAGGAAUCCAUGACAAAAACUAAGUUCCAAUUUGCAUCAAUGCGCAUGCACA
Molecule: long non-coding RNA, 330 nt
Organism: Amphimedon queenslandica
Lineage: Eukaryota; Metazoa; Porifera; Demospongiae; Haplosclerida; Niphatidae
Exons: 3
Source: RefSeq, a predicted model, not a curated record